Molecule: long non-coding RNA, 1425 nt
Organism: Alligator sinensis (Chinese alligator)
Lineage: Eukaryota; Metazoa; Chordata; Crocodylia; Alligatoridae
Exons: 3
Source: RefSeq, a predicted model, not a curated record
GCUGGUCCCAGGCGGCAUCACCAGGCUUCUCUCAUCUGGCAGGCAGAUCAAGGGAGGACUCCGGUACAGCCCUGGCAGCCCUCCCGGAGGUGUAGGCAAGACCCUGACCUGCUUGCCGGCUGCAUUUUGUUUCCCAAUAAUAACCUAUGGGCGAAACAUCUAAACAGCAAAACAGUUUUACAAAACGAAAUGGAACAGUGCUUUUGAAACAAAAUGAAACUGUUUUGUCGAAUCAUCAAAACGGAAGUCAAAUCAGAAGUGUGCUUUUUCACACAGCCCUACUGCACAGAGCUCUGGAGCACAGGGCAGCACUGACAAGACACCAGGUCUGGCCCUGGCAUAGGCUGCUGGUUACUCCCUCCACCUCCUCUGCUCUGACAAGCCUGGGCUGGGCUGCCUCAGAGAGAGCCGCAUUCUCUGGGCAUCUCCAGCCUGGUCAGCCCACGUGCUACCCACGUGCCCUCCUGGGCUGGGGCUGCCAACGAGCCUCUGGCAACAUGCUGCCGUUCUAAUCCUGGGGUAUGUGAGAGAGAGCCUGCGUCCUGGCUUGGGUACGCGCUGCAAGGCAUUUCCUGUUUGCGACUCCCUCUCUCUGACAAAUGAGCAGCAGGCAGCUGCUCUGUGGGUCAGUGCCCUGGGACAGUGGGAGGAACGGCCUGCUUGCACAGUGAUGUCAGGCCAAGCCAGAGGAAAAGGUUGUUACUGGAGCCAGGAGCUGGGGCUGGCGCUGAGGAAAUGUGAGGGCCUUGUUGUUGCAUAGCACCAGGGAGGGCUCCAGUUUGACUGAUGGCUGGGUGUGACAGCCUGGGGGAAGUACGGUGGAAGAUGGAUGCGAGGAAAGCCAGGAAAAGGAGACAAACUUAUCUUGGAACAGGAGGAUGCUCAGAGCCAGACACCCUAGCUAGAGACGCUGCCUCAGGCUGGAGGAGUUUUGCUUGAUGGCUGUUAAAGGUAGACGUGUGCAGACCAACAGGCUAUUGGUGAGGACCAGAUCCUGAUACCUGGAUUCUAACACUUGCCCGAGUACCUGUUGCAAAGACCACAGACACAGAGUUAAGUCCACCCAAAUGACUGCAUCUCUGGGCAGUUUGUUUGAAGACACCUGAAAUACUGCUCAAUGUUGCCUUUGCUGUUCUGUACUAAUAUGGAAGAGACAUGGGAAGCCAUGAUCCAAACACUUCAGUGCCUUGAGAGGAAUUUUAUCCAUGGUCAUUGGAAGUGCUGGGGGAGGGGCCAGAGGCCAGGAAAUACAGGCUUAAAAAAAUAUGUUCGAUUUUAGAUUCAAUGUUUGAAGAGACGUUCAUGCAACACUUGCUCUUUCCUGAAGUUCACGAGUAGCCAGUCAGCCAUUCACCUGGAGUUGGGUAGGAAGGGUGCACAACAUGCAGAAGGGUAAAAUACAGACCACAAUAUACAAGAAACCCA